This 1027-nucleotide ribosomal RNA is filed under the name Foraminifera sp. fruitcake. Its description in RNAcentral is "bacterial SSU rRNA". It matches the Rfam family "Eukaryotic small subunit ribosomal RNA", at positions 1160 to 1677 of the family's 1831-position model. The record is from RNAcentral. Lineage: Eukaryota; Foraminifera.
AAGGGCACCACAAGAACGCGUGGAGCAUGUGGCUUAAUUUGACUCAACGCGGGAACUCUUACCGGGUCCGGACAUACUGAGGAUUGACAGGUUGUUGUAGUUCUCCUUUUUAGGAGUUCUACUUAAAAUAUGCUAGUCCUUUCAUGAUUGUGUGAUAGGUGGUGCAUGGCCGUUCUUAGUUCGUGGAGUGAUUUGUCUGCUUAAUUGCGUUUCAUAAAAAGGACUUAAUUUUCAUCGCUUCGUUUACCUUGCGCUUAGCCCUGGUUAUAUGAUCGUCUGCUAUUUUGGGUUAAGAGUGUGUAGCUCUGUACUUUUUUAAAGACUAUAGCAGUCUGACUCAGCAUUUACUUGCUUCGAUGUCGACUGUUUGUUUUUUCUGUGUGCAUUGCUCCACUCUUUUCCCUUUGUGCGAUUUGUAUCUAUUUCCAUUCAAUGGGUUUUGCGUCUAUGGUCGAGUGAUUGAUUUUAUACAAGUCCUGAAGGCAACGAACGUGACCGCACCCUCUUGUUGCAUCCUUUCACAUUACACGUGUAACCAACUUGUUUGGUUUAUCGGAUGCUAACUAGAGGGACCGCUGACAACUUUUAAAACAGAGGAAGGUAGCGGCAAUAACAGGUCUGUGAUGCCCUCAGAUGUUCCGGGCUGCACACGUGCUACAAUGAUUGUUGCAGUAGGCAUCUUUCAUUUAACACACAUAGGUGUUUGUGCUUUAUCUGAACUAUGGCUUUUUUUAGCUUGUGUUCGAUAACACAUUCCCUAUUGGCAACCUACUUCGAAAGUCCAGUAGGUAACCAAUUCGAAGUAACGAUUUCCCCUUGCACAUAUCUCAUGUUUCCUUGUUUGUAGUCUUGUUGCUGCUCUGUUCAGUAUACAUUGUUUCUACCUUGGAACAUGUGCUCCUUUAAUUCGUGGUGGGGACAGACCAUUGUUAAUUGUUGGUCUCGGUCUCAACUAGGAAUGCCUUGUACGGGUUGGUUCAACAAACCACCCGGAAUAUGUCCCUGCCCUUUGUACACACCGCCCGUC